CCCGUACAGACACCAAACUAGAAUCUUCCAACACAUACUAAAGUAAAAGAGAACAGGGAUAUCUAUCCAUGUAUAAAUUCUAUAACACCUGCUUAAAAUCUCCUGUAGGUGUUCUAUUUAGUUAGAAUAAAAUGCAUCCUCCUCAUCAUGCCCCAUCACUCCAGCCUCUCCAGCCUCAUCUCUUCCUACUCUUCCUUCUUCCUCACCCUGGCCAACUCUGCUCUAGCCACAUUGAUCAUCUUGCUGUUUCUUGAACAGAUCAAGCUUGUAUCCACUGUGUGGCAUUUGCACUUGCUAUUCCAGCUGAGUAUCCUCUCAGAUCCCAGAUGUUUGCAAAGCUGACUCUUUCGUAUCAUUUGGAGCUCAUAUCAGAUCGACCUCUUAAAUGGGGAACCUCCCUGGAAAGAUAUUGCUUAUUUAUUUGUACAUUUAUUGUUUAUUAUCCAUCUGCCCCCUCUAAAAUCUAAGCUCCACGAGAACAGGAACUGUACUUGUACUGUUCACUGCUAAAUCCCCAUUUUCUAGGAUAGUGCCCUGGCACAUAGAAGCAAUGAACACAUAUUUGUUUUGUGAAUAAGUACAUGAGCAUACUAUCAAUAUUUUAGUUGCAACCUGUAGUCUAAGUGUUGAAAGUUGAUGGACAAAGUAGGGGCAUGACAUUUUCAAAACUAAGUAGGGAUGAGAUAAAAUGGGCCUGUAAGAAGAAUGCAGAGAAACAGAAGAAAUGCACUCUUUGCAAAGACAGGAUGAAGAAAUCUUCAAUCAGCCAGUGCACUGUGAGGAGCUGCUGGACUGGAAAGGCUUAUCCCUGGGGACCUCAGUAGAAUUUGUACUCCUGUGAUUUGCCAUAGAGGACCCUGAAUUGCAGAGCUGCUAGUCCAAAGGGAAAGGAAAAACAUGUAGAACUGGUCUGAACCCUUCUCACAACUUGGAGCCAAGCCCAGCCAAUUCCCAGCUGAGUCAGCAAAGCCACAGCUGACCUGCAAACCUGUGAACAAGAAAAUAAAUGUUUGUCAUAAGCCACUGAGAUUUUGAUAUUGUUUGUUUCACAGUAAAAACUGAGUGAUACAGAACUCUCAUUUUCUUAUAACCCUUCACAUUCCUUUUCUUUCCCUUUUUAGGCAGGAGCUAUUACUUUCUUCACCAAAUAACAGUUUCAUCUCUUUGUAAAAGCUGAGUAUAUGUGUAAGAGCUGUGUAUAUGAGACCACCAUCAAUAUACAACAAAACCAGUCUGAGAUGUGGACCCUGACCUGUCCACUAAGCAGUGAUAUACACUAGUGAGUAAUAACACUCACUAGCUAGUAAUAGACACAUUUCCUAAUAUGAAUAAUUCAAAUCAGAAAUUCAAAUAUUAUUACACACUACAAACUUUCUGGUCAGGCAGUCAACUUAUUUUAUCAAUCAGAGUUAAAUCAGGCAAAGAAUAAUCAUUAUGAAACUAU
Molecule: long non-coding RNA, 1444 nt
Filed under: Homo sapiens (human)
Lineage: Eukaryota; Metazoa; Chordata; Mammalia; Primates; Hominidae
Description: HSALNT0174522
Source: RNAcentral